UGCAUGCAUGGUAUCUGACCCAGCGGUUCUUUCCUGCUGCUGUGUUCAAAAGACAGUGCAAUAAACAUUCACUCUCUGGUAUCAUUGCUUCUUGCCUUUGGUGCUUGCUGGUACUUCUAAUGAUACAGUU
Cricetulus griseus (Chinese hamster) is the source of this 130-nucleotide small nucleolar RNA. Ensembl annotates it as small nucleolar RNA SNORA8. Lineage: Eukaryota; Metazoa; Chordata; Mammalia; Rodentia; Cricetidae. The record is from Ensembl.